This 270-nucleotide ribosomal RNA is filed under the name uncultured soil bacterium. RNAcentral's name for it is "partial 16S ribosomal RNA". It matches the Rfam family "Bacterial small subunit ribosomal RNA", at positions 26 to 305 of the family's 1533-position model. The record is from RNAcentral.
AGGACGAACGCUGGCGGCGCGCCUAAUACAUGCAAGUCGAACGGACUCGCCUUCGGGUGAGUUAGUGGCGGACGGGUGAGUAACACGUGGGCGACCUGCCUUCGAGUGGGGAAUAACGCUGGGAAACCAGCGCUAAUACCGCAUGCGCUCGGCUUUUCAGUAGGCCGAGGAAAGCUUAAUGCGCUCGAAGAGGGGCCUGCGGCGGAUUAGCUAGUCGGUGGGUUACGCCUACCGAGGCGACGAUCCGUAGCUGGUCUGAGAGGAUGGAUC